CUAAUACAUGCAAGUCGAACGAAACUUUCUUACACCGAAUGCUUGCAUUCACCGUAAGAAGUUGAGUGGCGGACGGGUGAGUAACACGUGGGUAACCUGCCUAAAAGAAGGGGAUAACACUUGGAAACAGGUGCUAAUACCGUAUAUCUCUAAGGAUCGCAUGAUCCUUAGAUGAAAGAUGGUUCUGCUAUCGCUUUUAGAUGGACCCGCGGCGUAUUAACUAGUUGGUGGGGUAACGGCCUACCAAGGUGAUGAUACGUAGCCGAACUGAGAGGUUGAUCGGCCACAUUGGGACUGAGACACGGCCCAAACUCCUACGGGAGGCAGCAGUAGGGAAUCUUCCACAAUGGACGCAAGUCUGAUGGAGCAACGCCGCGUGAGUGAAGAAGGUCUUCGGAUCGUAAAACUCUGUUGUUAGAGAAGAACACGAGUGAGAGUAACUGUUCAUUCGAUGACGGUAUCUAACCAGCAAGUCACGGCUAACUACGUGCCAGCAGCCGCGGUAAUACGUAGGUGGCAAGCGUUGUCCGGAUUUAUUGGGCGUAAAGGGAACGCAGGCGGUCUUUUAAGUCUGA
This 575-nucleotide ribosomal RNA is filed under the name Ligilactobacillus salivarius. RNAcentral's name for it is "bacterial SSU rRNA". It matches the Rfam family "Bacterial small subunit ribosomal RNA", at positions 48 to 592 of the family's 1533-position model. Lineage: Bacteria; Bacillati; Bacillota; Bacilli; Lactobacillales; Lactobacillaceae. The record is from RNAcentral.